RNAcentral lists this unclassified non-coding RNA (5140 nucleotides) under Hevea brasiliensis (rubber tree). The record is from RNAcentral. Lineage: Eukaryota; Viridiplantae; Streptophyta; Magnoliopsida; Malpighiales; Euphorbiaceae.
GUUUUUAGUUUGCUGACAAUUAAAUGCUUCUCUCUCUAGCAAUAACAGAAACUGGCAAAAAGAAAAGCCCUCAGUGCCUUUUUCUUUUUCUCUCUCUUCCUCUUUUGUAAUUAAUUAAUUAAUUACUUUUUUUCCAUUGCUCUAGAUAGAGUGAGAGAAGCAAGAAAGUCUUUGAAACUCUCUUCUCUUCUUCUUAGUUGUGUUCAGUGUGAGUUGGAGAACACAACCGAUAUACGCUGUCGUUUCUGCUUUGCGCACGGCGGCCGGUGUUUUCUGAUGAAUGUGAAUGUGAAUGUGAAAUGAUGGAAUGACUACAUAGUGGAGUCGGUUGAAAAUGCCUAGUAGCAAGGUUUAUCUGACGUACAAACGAAAGCUACCAUUAUCUAGAACUGGCAUUGCCCAUCAAAAUGGGUGCCAUAAUUCACUUUCUGAAGGACCAAGUGACACUGAUGUGACUGCCCCAGAUAAGCAUGAUGCACCAGUUGAUGAGCACAAAUCAGAAAAUCAGCAAAGGAAUUCAUUGAUAUUUCCUGGAUGUUUUGUAUGUGGUGUCACAGCCAACCUGCUGCAAUGCAAAGACUGCCAUCAACCUUAUCAUCAGGAGUGCCUUGAUAGGUUGCCUAAGGUAUUCCAAACUUUUACUGAGGAGAAGGGGAAAAAAUGCCAUCAAGUUUCAGUUAACAGCAUAAAUUUUAUUAUUAUUAUCUAACGAACCAUUCUCUGCCCCCCUUCCCCACCUCUCUUUUCCUCUACUUCCCUCCCUCUCUGUGUCUCUUUCUCAUGCAUGCACACAUGCAUAGUCGAAGCAUAUUCUGAACAGGGAAAGUGUGAGCUGUGGUUGUAAACUACAAGAUUCUUCUGUGCUUCAGCCAAUCCAAAAAUCAAGCAGAUUGGAAACAAUGAAACACACUGGGGGACCUGAUAAGAAACUAAUGACUGUUAGUUCUUGUAAAUCACCUGUUGUGGGGAUUCUUGGCGAGGGCACCUCUGGGAAGGACACAGAGGCACAUAGUUAUCUGGAUAUAUCCUUGAAAAGUAAAUUACAUCAUGUUCAAGUUAAUUCAUGUUCAGUCAUGAAUGUAGAUUCUGAAGAGAAAUUAAUUUCUCAGUCAACAGGGAUCAAUACCGGAGCGAGUUUGGAUUUUAUCAGCUCAAAAUCAUCCUUAGAAGGUAGUUGCAAUGCUGUGUGUGAUACUGGUUCAUGUUUUCUGAAAGCAUCAAACUUGGAAGGCACUGGUACAAACUCUAAAGAUAAGUCUACUGACAGUACUGGCUGUUUGCAUGGGCCAACCAAGUUGAGUAAUCCAUUAAUUACUUUUAGUCGAAGAUGUAAAAGGAAAAAAGACGAUACUGAGGAUGAUAUAAAAAGUUCAUUUCUUGAGGAGAAAAAUUGUUCAUUUCUUACCAAAUGGAGUAAAACCACUGAUGGUGCAGCUUCUCUUAAGGUCUCCUUUGAAGAUAAUUCAAGAGAAAUGGAGAUACCCAGGGUGGACAUAGAUUCAGGGAAUAUGUUUCAUCAAAAUCAAGAUAAUGUAUAUCCUCAUUCUUUCUGAAUAACAUUCUUCUUAUGUUUUUUGAAUUGUUCUGGUUCUUAACAAAUAAAAGUUGAUGGUAAGGUAUGGUACUAACUUGCCAAACUAUAAAGGUAAUUAAUUAUUCAUUGUUAUUGUUUUGUAACAUUUAGAGCCCAGUCAAUAUUAUCAUCCACUUCUUCAUAUUUAUUUCACUUUUGAAGGCAAGGGAUGUACCCUGCUUUUGAUGUACGCUGCUUUUGGUUUAUUAAAAAUUUAAAUAUGAAGAUAUCCUUUUUGUUGUUUUUGCAUUAUAUGUUCACAUAUAAGUAUAAAGUACCUACAGUAUAAUAGCACUGAUUUACAUAUGGCAAACUGUAAAGUUUGUUUCUUGUUCUGUGUUUUGAUAUGUACAAUUACAACUUUAAAUUCUUAAAUGCUUGUGCAUUUGUCUUUUUUGGAUAGUCUGAAGGGAUUAGAGUUAAAUUCUUUUAUUGAGGUGAAGUAUAUGGGAUCACUGAUCGUAAGAAAUUAUCUGUACAUGGUAUGUGUAUGUGGCACUGAGAGAGAGAGAUGGUAAGAAGAGGAUGUGAUAUGGCAAGAAGUGCAUUUGUGCGUCUGCAAAUGUUCUUUUUAUUUUCUAACUUGUGUACAGCAGUACCAAUUGAUACAGACUGAUUUAGGCAUUUAGCAAUCCUCAGCCUUGUUUUUCUUUUCCUCAAGAAAUAACAUCCUUCAUCAAAACUUGAAUGCUCUUUAGCACCUGGCACUGGACUAAAGUUACAAAUAUAUGGUUCACCAUUGAAUAUUGAUGCAGUUUACUUUGGUUUAAGAUGAAGUUGACUGAAAUACAUCUCUUUCUUCUCUGUUAACUCUGGUUCUCUGUUUACUGUGCCUGCAGAUGGACUUAAUAAUGUUCCAGUAGGUUAGUUGUUAAUGUAUAUUGAAAACUUGAUAUGCAGUCACUCAUGCUUUUACUUCAUUUGUGACAGAUAAGAGCUGUUGAUUCUGCACACAUUCAUGCGAAUUUUGCUUUGGAAGCUAAGACGUAAAUUAACAAUUACUUAGUAAAUUGUUGUUAAAAUUGGAAUUUACUGCUAAUUAUGCAUAAUAGAGUGAUUAUUUUUCAUGCAGUUUGACUUGUGAAGAAAAAAUAUCCCAUGGUUCUAAAAGCAAAUCCAAUGAGAUCUCACCUAUCAGCAGACAAGGGCAGAUUUUCAGAGUUAACGUGAACACUGUAGGAGCUCCUCUGGGCAGUUUACAGAUCUCAUUGAAUGAUGCUGCUAAGGAUCCUUGUGAAGCUAGAGUCACAGAUACAGAGUUGGUAAACACUAAAUGUCAAGGUGAAUCUGAAAUUCUGUCGAGUGAUGGUGCAAAAGCAACGAUAGUUCCUGAUUACACAAAAGAAAGAAAGCAACCUUAUUUGGAUAUGUCUGUUACUCCUGAUUCAUGUGGGACAUUGGACCAUGAUGUCAAUUUGGAUUUGGGCAGUCAAAAGGAGCCUGCUCAUGGUGCUUCAGAAUCUCUUCGAGGCUCAAUGGACUCCACAAGCAGAAGUCAUGCUACUGUUUUAGAUCGAAUGUCCCCUUCUGAAUUAUUGCAAGGUAAGAAUAAGAGAGUGGAGGAAGUCUCAACAGUUCAUUCAACAAGGGUAUUUAGUGAUGCAUCUACUUCAGAGGAAGAAGCUGGUGUCAACUCAAAAGAUAAUGAUGUAGACUGUCAUGAGUUCUCCAUGGACAAUACAUCAAAAAAUGAAUGUCUGCAGGCAAGUUUUAUCUCAUUGUGUACAUAUGUCAAUUUCGACUGUUAUCUCUUUGCUACAAUAUCUUUUACUAUUAUAUUAAUUGUUGUUCCAUGUUAGUUUCCCUGAUUUCUUCAAUUAAGAUUUUCUUCUUUAGUCAGUUCUGUGGAUGAUGUGACUACCUGAAUAAGGAUUUUUUUUUUCUUUAAAAUAAUUCCAGCUAUUUUCUGAAGAAAAAGGCAACAGUUUCCACCUAGCAACUGCAAAGCCAGAAGUAACUACUUGCAUGGUUUUGGAAGAAAGUAAAUCUCUUAGGUUUCAAAGUGACAAUAAUCAGAUGAGACAGACUUCAUGUGGUUCUCUAUUAGAUUUGGGCUUAUCCCUGCCAACAGAGUCUAAUAUGGGCAACUAUUCUUCAAAAAAGUGCUCCAUCACAUCACGAAUGUGGAACUCUGACAGUAAAAUCAGAGACUUUGUUCAAGAUGCACUUCCUCAAUCUUCAUCUAGCCACGCAGCUUCAUUGCUGAGGCAUAAGCUUAUGCUCGAUAGUAUUGUAAUUCGAGCAAGUGCCUUGAAUGCAAAGGGUGGUUUUCAAGACAAGUGUAAGUCAUAUACUACUUUGUGGUCUGAAGAAGAACUUGAUUCUCUUUGGAUAGGUGUGAGGAGACAUGGAAGAGACAACUGGCAUGCUAUGUUAAGGGAUCCAAGACUCCAUUUUUCUUCUUGGAGAACAGCGAGGGACCUUUGUGAGCAGUGGGAGGAGGAGCAAACUAAACUGCUGAAUGGCAGUCGUGUUUUACAAUUCAAGUCUCCAAUACCGCAUGAUAUUUCUUUGGACAAUAAUGUUCGGUACAUGUGCACAAAGACUGGAAUGUGGAGAGAAAAUGCAACUGAGGAAACUAGACUCUCACUAGGAGAUGUAUAUGAUCACAGAACUAGCAACAGCUCAAAGAGGCAGCGUGUCAACUUUGCUGGUGUUGAAAGUACUAAACAGCUUCAUAGACCUGCUACUUACCCAAGGAGUGCAUCAUAUUCAGAUUUUGAGGGUGAAAUGUAUGGCAAGGGAUCAUAUGAUCAUUUGGGGUGUAUGACUGUGCCAAGGUGUGAUCCCUUACUAAAUAAUAGACCUUUCACUGCUUUGGCGUCCAAAGGUAAUUUGCCUCACUGGCUAAGAGAAGUAGUAAAUACUCCUCUGCCAAGGCCAAUGGAAGCAGCUCUACUCCCUGGUUUUUCAUCUAUUUCUCAUUCACGGGCAAUGCGGGUUAUCAAACCAUAUCCAGAUCCUAGCGAGCUACUCUUCAGUGGCAUGAGGAAUAGGACAGAUGGCAAUUUUGGUGGUGCAAGGGCAAAUGAGCUGCAGCCAUCAGGUAGUGCUCAUCCGUCCAAUGUCUCCUUGGAAAUGAGAUAUGGAAAGUCUGACAUGUGCAGUUCUUUAGGUCUUGUCAAUAAACUCGACAACUUGAUCAUUGUUGAUAGCGAUGCAUCUUCUGAAGAGACGAUAUCUGAUGAUCAUGGUGCUAGACCCUAGUUUUGAGGUUACAUAGGUAAGAGACUUCAGUUUUCUCAAAUUUGUUCAUUGUCUGCUGUACAGUUUUGUAGUUAGCAUUUUGUAAACAAGUUCUGACCCAUGUGGAUGUAGUAGUUCUCUGGCGACUAGCAGUAUAUGCAUAAUUUGAAAGUCCUUUUCUGAGUGGGAGAUGAGACAAACUGAAAUGUUUAUACAACUUCUCUAGAGGAAUGUAUUAAAAGAUUUAUGCUAAAGUUUGGCAUGUAUCUUGGAGCAUAUUCUGAUGUUCUUCUCUUAAUUUUAGGCGUCUAGUUUUGCUUUGCCAGUAAUAUGCAGGGUAAAAUGUCGAUAAUCAGUCACCUGCUUCUUUUGUUCUGAAAA